AUUCUGAGAAUGAUUGAUGUUCUGAGGUAUAUAAUGUGGCUUUUGUAAGAAGUGUAUUUGGCUAGUUUACUCUACUUGUUUGAUAGACUUGUUUGCGGUUACUCGUAUAUGUCCUGCAACACUGUAGAAUUCUGUUUCUUUGCUUAGACAAUGUAGUAGCCUGAAUGCAAGAUCUGGCUAUUCUAGAGGUUGUGUAGGAUUGAAUGGUAAGGUUUUUGUGUUGUGCAGGAUGAUAUAGUAUCUAAUGUCGAGGCAAAACUUGCUGCGUGGACCUUUCUUCCCGAAGAAAAUGGGGAAUCCAUGCAAAUAUUGCACUAU
Camelina sativa (false flax) is the source of this 318-nucleotide non-coding RNA. NCBI's taxonomy places the organism in Eukaryota, Viridiplantae, Streptophyta, Magnoliopsida, Brassicales, Brassicaceae. The record is from RefSeq and is a predicted model, not a curated record.